Molecule: long non-coding RNA, 3357 nt
Organism: Myotis lucifugus (little brown bat)
Lineage: Eukaryota; Metazoa; Chordata; Mammalia; Chiroptera; Vespertilionidae
Exons: 3
Source: RefSeq, a predicted model, not a curated record
GCCCGCGGCCGGGCGGCUCUCACCGCGCUCCGGGCCUCUCUCCUGGCGGCCCGCCGGCCGGCCGUCGCAGGCCCGGCUGAGGCGGCGGCGACGCCGGAGCCGCAGACUGCUGAGCGGCGGGGACGCAGCUGCACUAACCGACUCCCGGCCGCUCGGCUCGGCUCGGCCGUACUCGGAGACGCUCGGCUCCGCUCGGUCCUCGCUCGGCUCAGCUGGGGGGCGUGGCCCGAGGCCCCCCGCCCAAGUCGCCUCUGGCGGCCGGUGGGCGGGGCUUCAAUGCGAGCGCGAGCCCCUGACGUCCCGAGACCAGACCUUGCCCCGGGGCGCAUGCGCGGGCUGCGGUCCUGCUCUGCCCCGCGUGGAACUUGAGGGGGUUGGUGAAGAAGGGGACAGGGGCGGAUGCUGCGGCCCCAGAGGUUACCGGCUUUUGUAUUCCAUAUCCUGGUCUUUCUGGAGGACCAGCUAAGGAAGGCCACACCAAGCUACACUUUGAAAAGGAUGUGGGCAGGGGCCAGAGGCCGUCCCCGCCCUCUCCCCCACCCCCGUCCAGUGUUUCCCAGCUCGCGUCACCGUGGGACUCCGUCUUUCUUUCAUCCCACCAACAGGCGCGUCACUGCAGUUUUGAAACUCUUCUGUUUCCUAAACAGGACAUCAACUCCUCAUAACUGCUUUCCUAACGUUACAUUUUCAGGGACUUGAAACUUGAAAGCAUCAAUGAGCCCCCUCAUAGAAUAAUGCUGGCCCUUCUUCACAGCUUCUGUUGUGUAACCUGUAACACCUGGGAUGGGAGUGGGUCUUCUCCUGAGUUUCCUCACAUGCUCCAGGCACCGUGUUUGUUAUAGAGCCCAAGUCUGCAGCACAUGUGCUCAGGAAGUGGUCCCCACCUUUAGGAUCUAGUGAUUAAUAAACAGCAAGAGCUCUGCAGCCUGACUAACUGGGUUGGAAUCCCAGAUCUGCAUUAUACCAGCAGAUGAAUAGUUGGUAGAGUGACUUGGGACGUGCUACUUAAUCUCUCCUCCGUAAAGGAGCUAUGAAAAUAUUAGUACCGAAGCCAAUAGGAAUGGUUGAAAGGAUUAAAUAACAGCACAGAGCCUGAAAACCAGUCGACAUAUACGAAGGUGGGCCAAAGUAGCCCUGUGGGAUGCAGAGGUAAAGGAGGCACUCUCCCGACCACUGAGAACUCAGUAUUUUGGAGGAGACAGACAUGUAAAGAAGCGCUUCUGGAAGAAAGUAUGUCAUGCUCUAUGGAUAUGCCCACUGCUUUGGGAAGUAGAGAGAAGGACAUAAUUAAUACUACAUAAGAGAGUGUGGAAAGGCUUCCCAGAGGAGGUGACAUUAGGCUGGUUCUAAAGAGAUGAGGAGGAGGAGACUCCAGGCAGAGGAAACAGCAUGCACGUAAAACCAGUGUUGGGAGGUUUGUCACAAAUCUCGUUUACCCAAGGAGGCAAAUUAUUAUUUUUUAAAUAAUUUAAGAAGAUUCCAGGUGGUUCCUAUAAUGUCACCUGCACUCACUCACAUUCUGAUGAGCUUUCUCAAGCGGGAAAGAAACUGUCAGAAGUAUAGUUGAUGCAAUAGAGUUACAACCUGAGCUCCAUUUUAUUGGAGUGAGCUACACCUGUGACUUUUUUUUUAAGGUCAGGGUCCAGAGGCAAAGAGCAUGUAUCAUGAGAUGUUUACUGGCUGCAAGUACCAGUUACCGAUCAGGCCAGUUUAAGGAAAAUAAAAGGAGAACUUAAAGCUUAGGGUGGGGGCAGGAGGGUGGUUCUCUCAGGCCAAGGGCAAGAACCCAGCUGGACUUCUGAAUGAAUUAGAAGCAGAGCAAGGGUUACCAGUAGGACCAUCUCUCUGCAAACUUGUUUUCUCUGAUUCAUGAUAAUAAAAUGGACAUAUGUCUGCCAGCCACUCCCAAGUACAUGACAAUUCCAGAGAGAGACUAAAAAUCCCUAAUUGUUCCAAUUUCCAAAUCCCAGAAAAGAGGCUCUCAUUGCCCCAACUUGAGUCAGGUGCCCCCUCCUAGUUCACCAGGAACCCACCCCUGUGGAUCAGGACCACAAAAAAGGAAUUGUUUGGGGUUGAGGAGAUAUCUUAAUAGAACUCCCUCAUAGAACCAUUAAUUUCACAUAUUGGAAAAACAUCUGGGAGACAUUUGAUUGUGACACAGGAGAUGAUUAUUGAGUUUCUGAUUUCUGCUUAGUAGGGAGGCCUCUAUAGGCAGCAAUCAAAGCAGGAAGUUGUUCUUUUCCCAACAAAAAGUGGACAGAAACUGGGGUGGUCUCCAUAAGUCCUCUGUAGUGGGUAUUCUGAUGGCCUCCUGUGGUAGUUGACAUUAAUGCCAGCCACCAAAGAUUUUAGGGUUCGCUUGUGAGACACCUGUUAGGAUUGUACUUCUUUACAUCUGGGAGUCAGGAGUGGCCAUGUCACUUACUUUUAUGAUGGUCAAUAAAGUAUGAGUAGAAGUAUAUCACUCCUGGAUCCACAUUUUAGGAGCUAGCAGGCUAUUUUUUGUUUUCUCUUUCCCUCAGUAACAGCAAAAGACAAUGCUUGAGAUAGUUGUAGUUCCAUCAGCCUAGGUCCUGGAGUGAGAAAACGUGGAAUAAUGCCCCUAGAUGACCCACAGUGGAUAUGUAGUAUUAGCAAGAAAUAAACCUUUGCUAUUAUAAAAAAAAAUUCGUGCUUGUUUGUUAUCACAGCAAAACCCAGCCUAUCCUGAGAGAUGCAUCUUCCUAACAUCCAGUCUAUCUCACCCCCCAUUGUACAGCAAGACAAUCUGAGUGGGAGGGACCCUCAUCUCCCACAUGGGUGUGGACCCUAAGCCAGUUGAAGUAAUCUCAUGCAUCUUGUAUUGGUUGCUCCAGGGAUAGCCCUCUUACCCUGGCCUACAUCUAUCAGUACCCAAUAUUCACCUCUUUGUAAUAGUUGCAUAAAACCUCCACUGUCUCCCUGGAUGUCAGCAAGGAGCGAUUUGCUGCUGGCAGCUACUUUGUGACCAGGAAGAGAGUCAGCCUAACGAUGACACCAAUGCAUGGAAAAGGAAAGGGCAGAUGAACUGAAGAGAAACAGAGCUGGGGUGCUGAUCAAGGCUUACCUGAAUCCAUCUACCCAAUAAAGUUACGUAAGUCAAUAAAUUCCCUUUAGCAUUGAUUCUCAUUUGACUUGGAUUCUCUUAUACUUGAAACCAAAAGCAUUCCAACUGUGACUGUUCACUGCAUACUUCUGAGUAGUAGCCAGUGCCAUUAACUCACAGGUGGGAAAGGGUCUGAGCUAUGAACAAGUGCAGGAAGAGAAGCUGAAAAUUCUACCUGAUUUAUAUGCCAGUUCCUUAUCAAGAAUGAGUAUCACGACGCAGGCACAGCACAG